RNAcentral lists this ribosomal RNA (1657 nucleotides) under Enterocloster aldenensis. RNAcentral's name for it is "bacterial LSU rRNA". It matches the Rfam family "Bacterial large subunit ribosomal RNA", at positions 1252 to 2925 of the family's 2925-position model. Lineage: Bacteria; Bacillati; Bacillota; Clostridia; Lachnospirales; Lachnospiraceae. The record is from RNAcentral.
GAAGCGGUACCGACGAGGAGCCGUGGACAUUUAAGAAGAGAGAAUGCCGGAAUGAGUAGCGAGAUGGAGGUGGGAAUCCUCCAGGCCGAAUAUCCAAGGUUUCCAGAGUAAAGCUGAUCUGCUCUGGGUAAGUCGGGGCCUAAGGCGAGGCUGGGAGGCGUAGCCGAUGGACAACAGGUUGAGAUUCCUGUACCGUGUAUCAUCAGAACUGUGGGGACACAGAAGGACAGCACAUCCCGGGAAUGGGAAUACCGGGGCAAGCGGGGUAGGAGUACGGCUGGCAAAUCCGCCGUACAAUCCGAAGACGUGAUGCGGAGCGAACUGAAGUAGCGAAGUGUGUGAUUCCAGCUGUCAAGAAAAGCCGCUAUCGUGUGAUACACGCCCGUACCGUAAACCGACACAGGUGGAUGAGGAGAGAAUCCUAAGGCCGGCGGGAGAAGCAUUGUUAAGGAACUCGGCAAAAUGACCCCGUAACUUCGGGAGAAGGGGUGCCCAUGAAAGUGGGCCGCAGAGAAUAGGCUCAAGCAACUGUUUAGCAAAAACACAGGUCUAUGCAAAACCGUAAGGUGAGGUAUAUGGGCUGACGCCUGCCCGGUGCUGGAAGGUUAAGAGGAGAGGUCAGCGGAAACGCGAAGCUUUGAAUUUAAGCCCCAGUAAACGGCGGCCGUAACUAUAACGGUCCUAAGGUAGCGAAAUUCCUUGUCGGGUAAGUUCCGACCCGCACGAAAGGCGUAAUGAUUUGAGCGCUGUCUCGACAAUGCACCCGGUGAAAUUGAAAUACCAGUGAAGAUGCUGGUUACCUGCGCCAGGACGGAAAGACCCCAUGGAGCUUUACUCCAGCUUGAUACUGGGAUCCGGUAUUGCAUGUACAGGAUAGGUGGGAGGCUGUGAAUCAUGGACGCCAGUCUGUGAGGAGCCGCUGUUGGGAUACCACCCUUGCGGUAUUGGGUUUCUAACCUGCGCCCAUGACCUGGGCGGGGGACAAUGUCAGGUGGGGAGUUUGACUGGGGCGGUCGCCUCCGAAAGGGUAUCGGAGGCGCUCAAAGGUUCCCUCAGGAUGGUUGGAAACCAUCCAGAGAGUGCAAAGGCAUAAGGGGGCUUGACUGCGAGACUGACGGGUCGAGCAGGUACGAAAGUAGGACUUAGUGAUCCGGUGGUAUGAAAGUGGGAUUGCCAUCGCUCAACGGAUAAAAGCUACCCUGGGGAUAACAGGCUUAUCACUCCCAAGAGUUCACAUCGACGGAGUGGUUUGGCACCUCGAUGUCGGCUCAUCGCAUCCUGGGGCUGUAGCAGGUCCCAAGGGUUGGGCUGUUCGCCCAUUAAAGCGGUACGCGAGCUGGGUUCAGAACGUCGUGAGACAGUUCGGUCCCUAUCCGGCGCGGGCGUAGGAUAUCUGAGAGGAGCUGUCCUUAGUACGAGAGGACCGGGAUGGACAGACCGCUGGUGCAUCUGUUGGCAUACCAAUGCCAUGGCAGAGUAGCCAAGUCUGGACGGGAUAAACGCUGAAGGCAUCUAAGCGUGAAGCCCCCCUCAAGAUGAGAUAUCCCAUGCGUAGGCAGUAAGACCCCUUGUAGACGACGAGGUGGAUAGGUUAGAGGUGGAAGUGCAGCAAUGUACGGAGCUGACUAAUACUAAUCGGUCGAGGGCUUAACCAGAA